Molecule: ribosomal RNA, 393 nt
Filed under: Triticum aestivum (bread wheat)
Lineage: Eukaryota; Viridiplantae; Streptophyta; Magnoliopsida; Poales; Poaceae
Description: partial small subunit ribosomal RNA
Source: RNAcentral
CUCCGCCAAGGCAAUCUCGUGUCCCCGCAGCUGUUCGUCCUCGCCGUGGACACGCUCGGUCGCCUCCUCCGCCGUGCCACGGAGCUGGGCGUCCUACAGCGGCUGCACCCCCGGCGCCCGGUCUCCUCGGUCUCCCUCUACGUCGACGACGUGAUCCUAUUCUGCCAUCCCACCGUCGGCGACAUCACGGCCGUCAAGAGCAUCCUGCUCCUCUUCGGCCGAGCUUCAGGCCUCCUCGUCAACUACGCCAAAAGCUCCGCCACCUUGAUCCAAUGCGCCGCUGACGACAUCGCGCCCGCGGUCAACCUGCUGGGCUGCCCCCUCGCCGAGUUCCCGAUCACAUAUUUGGGCAUCCCCCUAACUCUGCAUCGCCCCACGGCCGCACAGCUACAG